Molecule: transfer RNA, 91 nt
Filed under: candidate division WS5 bacterium
Lineage: Bacteria
Description: tRNA-Ser
Rfam family: tRNA
About the family: Transfer RNA (tRNA) molecules are approximately 80 nucleotides in length.
Source: RNAcentral
GGAGAGGUCGCAUAGUUGGUCUAGUGCGGGUCGGUGCUAACGAUCUAUACUCGAAAGAGUAUCGAGGGUUCGAAUCCCUCCCUCUCCGCCC